Ipomoea nil (Japanese morning glory) is the source of this 155-nucleotide ribosomal RNA. It matches the Rfam family "5.8S ribosomal RNA". From Rfam's summary of the family: 5.8S ribosomal RNA (5.8S rRNA) is a component of the large subunit of the eukaryotic ribosome. It is transcribed by RNA polymerase I as part of the 45S precursor that also contains 18S and 28S rRNA. Functionally, it is thought that 5.8S rRNA may be involved in ribosome translocation. The record is from Rfam. Lineage: Eukaryota; Viridiplantae; Streptophyta; Magnoliopsida; Solanales; Convolvulaceae.
GACUCUCGGCAACGGAUAUCUCGGCUCUCGCAUCGAUGAAGAACGUAGCGAAAUGCGAUACUUGGUGUGAAUUGCAGAAUCCCGUGAACCAUCGAGUCUUUGAACGCAAGUUGCGCCCGAAGCCGUUAGGCGAGGGCACGUCUGCCUGGGCGUCA